RNAcentral lists this long non-coding RNA (333 nucleotides) under Carica papaya (papaya). RNAcentral describes it as "long non-coding RNA (CPAP_LNC009826)". Lineage: Eukaryota; Viridiplantae; Streptophyta; Magnoliopsida; Brassicales; Caricaceae. The record is from RNAcentral.
AAUGAUAUUCAGUCAUACUUAGAUAGUAGAGUCCAUGAUCUUGUGAAUAAAUGUCAUUGAUUUCUUUACAUAUUUAAUAUGCCUAUUUGGGAAGAAAUGUUCGGCUAGGAAAGAUAUGAUCGAAUUUUCCCUUACUUGAUUCCAAAAAUCCUUAAUUUUAUGGAUUCUUAGUUGUUGUUUGAGGUGAAAUGAAAAGGAAAAAAAUUUCCCUUGUGAGAGAAAAUCUAUCGCGGGUGAGAGAGGAAUUUUGUGGCUGUUCUCCCUUUUUUUAAUGGGCUUGGUGUUUCCCAUUUAAGGCCUUCAAAGUUUGGCCCAAGAUUUCCUUCUUUAUAU